RNAcentral lists this ribosomal RNA (505 nucleotides) under uncultured bacterium. RNAcentral's name for it is "partial 16S ribosomal RNA". It matches the Rfam family "Bacterial small subunit ribosomal RNA", at positions 28 to 507 of the family's 1533-position model. The record is from RNAcentral.
GACGAACGCUGGCGGCGUGCCUAAUACAUGCAAGUAGAACGCACAGUUUAUACCGUAGCUUGCUACACCAUAGACUGUGAGUUGCGAACGGGUGAGUAACGCGUAGCUAACCUGCCUGGUAGCGGGGGAUAACUAUUGGAAACGAUAGCUAAUACCGCAUAAUAUUAAUUAUUGCAUGAUAAUUAAUUGAAAGGUGCAAUUGCACCACUACCAGAUGGACCUGCGUUGUAUUAGCUAGUAGGUGAGGUAACGGCUCACCUAGGCGGCGAUACAUAGCCGAGCUGGAGAGGAGGACGGCCCAACUGGGACUGAGAAACGGCCCCAACUCCUACGGGGGGCAGCAGUAGGGGAUCUUCGGAAAUGGGGGAAAGUCUUGACGAGCACCGCCGCGGGAGUGAAGAAGGUUUUCGGGUCGUAAAGCUCUGUUGUAUGGGAAAAACGAGUGGGAGGGUGGAACGUUCACACUGUGACGGUAUCUUACGAGAAAGGGACGGCUAACUACGUG